Molecule: unclassified non-coding RNA, 3788 nt
Filed under: Ooceraea biroi (clonal raider ant)
Lineage: Eukaryota; Metazoa; Arthropoda; Insecta; Hymenoptera; Formicidae
Description: ubiquitin conjugation factor E4 A, transcript variant X3
Source: RNAcentral
AUGUGCGACAAUAUCCAAGGCAACCCAUUUGCCGGGCUGUUUUCAACGGAUAAUGAUGCUGUCUCAUUCUCCACGCAACAUCAUGCGAUUGUUGAUGAAAGCAGCAAUACCAAUUAUGUGGAACGCUCGUCGGACACGGUUAAGGAGGAAUCCAAGAAUACGGAGCCUAGGAGUUUGGACGACAAGGUUGACCAGCUUAUGGCGCGUGUGUUUGGCUUGACAUUGCGUCGAGACAGGAACAAUCCUCCAGAGAGAUCCCUCGUGUUCAUCGACGCGGAUUCGAUUGAACAUGCUGUUUUCGAGCGCUUGAUGCUGCCAAAUCCGAAACCCGAGUGGACAUGCGACAAUGUGUCCAGUAAUGUUGAUAAUCACAUAGUUCAAAUGCAAGUUAUAACUUACCUUUAUGAAUGUUACUGCCGUUUAAAGCACUACCAGAGUCACAGUGAUUUGCAAAGUACUGUAAAAAAUGCUUGCCAAAUUGUAUUAAGAAAUACCAGCACAGCUUUGCAGGAGCCAGAUUUGUUCCAGUAUCAAGAGGUUCAUAAUCAGUUUGUUACUUUAUUUAUGGACGAUGGUAUAUCAAAGCUAGAAUUAUCAUCAUUUCUUACUGGUAUAGUGGAAGAAUUAAUAAUGGCGAAUGGGGAAAAUGUAGAGGAUGCAGUUGCAAAGUCAUUUGCGCCUGUUCUUGAUAUCGUUCAUAAAGACGCAGCCCAGAGCAAUCUCUUUACCUUUCGCCAACAGUGGUUUACUUUACUCCAUGCAUUUUCUACUAUCGAGCCACUGGCAAAGUUGUUGAUUCGUCAUAGUGCACCGAAAAAUGAUCAGGGUUGCGCAUAUGCGGACACAUUGCUAGGUGCGUUGUUCAACAUAAGCUGUCUACCAAAAACAGCUAAAGACCCAUAUGAUCUCUUCGAUAAACCUCUGCAGCAAUCAAAUGCAGUCAUGGAGAGUACUAUAUGGUUAGCCAUGAAUAGCUUGAGCGAAGCUUUAGACAAAGUUUUUCAUUCCUUAUUGAAAUGUUCAAUGGAAAUUCGUCAUUUGACCCUACGAUGGCUGGGUAAUUGCCUUCACGUGAAUGCAAACAGAGGGAAACUUUGGAACUCUCACAUGGAAAUGGGAUUGCUGGGAGUGUUGUGCGUGUCAGAUGGUUUCAUGCUGAAUGUCAGCAAUGUAUUGUUACGUCUUUGUCAACCGUUCUGCAUUAAAUUAAGUGACGCUAAAGUACCAAAAAUAGAUCCUACAUAUUGCAGUGCCGAGGCAAACGACGAAGCCGAGAGUCUACAACGUGGUAUACACAUGAAAGGAUUGAGUACAGAGACGUGUUUGGUACCAGUACCAGAGGGCGAAAGUCGACCGGUCGCGGAGAUAUUUGGAUUCAUAACCGAAUGCUUCUUCCUCACGCAUCGUGCGUUAGACCUUGGCUACAGAGUUGUACUCGACAAGCUCUUGAGAACGAAUCAAGAUUUGGUCAGGAUACAGAGGGCUUACAACGAUGCUCGAACGGGUGGAAGUUCAGAGGUGCUAGAACUCAUAUCGCAGCAAAUGGAAACUGAGAUGAUAAAAUACUUGUCUCUUAAAACGAGUCUUCUAAUACCAGAGAUGUUGGAACGCUUGGCAAGAUUUCAUGCGAUGACAGCGUUCUGGUUGGUACAAGUGAAUUUGCAUGUUGUAAAUGAAGAAGAGGCCAAACGAAAUUUCAUACCAGAACCAUACACACCUGUUACAUUCCCAUUACCAAAAGCUGUUCCAAUUACAUUGAGGUGCAUUCCCGAGUUCGUAGUCGAAAAUACAAUCGGAUUUUUGUGUUUCUUACGUCGCUUGAGUCCGAACACGUUUGAGGAGCAAGGUCCGAGUUUUUUAAAUCCAAUCUUAACAGAGAUUAUAGUUCUCAUGGAGUCACAGCAUCGUCUGUACAAUCCGCAUUUGCGCGCACGUUUAGCUGAGAGCCUGGAGGCUCUCCUGCCGAUUACGGAUGAGAACGAUACUCCAGCUGCACCUAGCUUGGGAAUAUUCCAUAGGGAACAAUUAUUUCUCACUCAUCCACAUAGGCAGCAUGUAAUUGUCAACUUACUGCAUGUAUUUGUAAGCAUCGAAAUGACGGGACAGAGUGUACAGUUCGAGCAAAAGUUCAACUAUCGUCGUCCGAUGUACAUUGUCAUGGAUUAUCUAUGGAAGCUUGCUGAACAUCGUAACAAGUUUAUUGCUUUAGCUCAAGAAGCGGAGGACAACAUGGAAGCAGUUCAACCACCGUUGUUUUUACGUUUCAUCAAUUUACUAAUGAAUGAUGCUGUGUUUCUCUUGGACGAAGCUCUAUCGAAUAUGGCGCAAUUAAAACAAAUAUUACAAGCUAGAGAAAACGGAGAGUGGAACAAACUGCCGCCGAAUGAACGCGAGCAGCAGGCAGGCUAUCUCCAGCACAUUGGUAUGAUCGCUCGUUUUGACAAUAUUCUGGGUAGAAAAACUAUACAAACGAUAAAAAUGUUGACCACUGAGAUAAAGUCGAUCUUUUGUCAUCCGACCAUGGUGGAUCGUAUCACUUCUAUGCUUAAUUAUUUACUAUUACAAUUGGUAGGACCGAAUAAAAAGAAUCUAAAGGUAAACGAUCAGAAAGAAUACGCGUUCAAUCCUGCGAACUUGGUGCUGAAUAUAUGCGAGAUCUACAUCAAUUUGAGUAAAAGUGAAAGCUUUAUUCUAGCCGUGUCACAAGACGGACGUUCUUAUAGUACAGAACUCUUUAAACUUGCUGAAAAUGUGCUUGUUCGCAUCGGUGGUGUGGGUAUAUUGGGAGAUUUGAAUCAAUUUGCAAAGAGCGUGGAGAAAGCCGCGAAUCAGAAACGAGAGGAAGAUGAAAUUCUGGCAGGCGCUCCGGACGAAUUUCUGGACCCGAUUAUGUCGACCGUAAUGACGGAUCCUGUAAUUUUACCAUCGUCGAGAAUAACUAUCGAUCGUCAAACUAUAGCAAGACAUUUACUGAGCGAUCAAACUGAUCCUUUCAAUCGAUCUCCACUUACUAUGGACAUGAUCAAACCAAAUGUUGAACUUCAACAAAAAAUACAAGAGUGGAUAUCGCAAAAAAAACAAGAGAAAAUAUCGUUAAAUACUGUUACAUAAAUUAUCAAUUGUUGUGUCACGAUAGAGAGAGUGACAUCGAAGCUCAUAUAUUUGCACAACUUCUCAAAGAAAAUCUGAAUUUACAGAAAUCAUUAUGAAGCGGACACAUUUCAUUCCAUUCUUAUUUGUUGUCGAUUGCUUGCAUCUGAGUCUUGGCGCUUUCGUAGACAAUUGAAAAUUCAAUUUAUUGAUCACUCCAAUUGUAUGAAGUGUAAACAGUUUUUCGAGAAACCAAAUUACUGUCCAAGUAAGUAAACAUAAGUAGAAAGGAAUGGAUCGUGUGCAUAUCGUCGCAGGAGACGUUGAGCCAUCUCCGUGUGGAAAGUAAUCGGCAAUUGAUUCGUCGAAGUAUUAUUGAAAAGCUUUAAUUCUUGUCGCCCGACAAGUCCUUCCUAUUCUACUUGCGACAGCAUCGUGACUCACUUCUCGCUCAUUUACGUUUUUAUGGAUUCAAGGAUAGAUGAAUCAUUUUACAUACAAAUUUUGCAAUGUAUUAUAAUUAUGUACAGGGUUACAAACAGAUGUAGAAUUACACACAGCAAUUGUAUCAGUAACAAUUACUGAUAUAUUAUAAAAUGUUUAUGUAAACGGCAUGUGAUUUUAGAAAUCGAUAUCGAAAACGUGAUUGUACAUUGUGUUUCCAUUUAUUGUGCAGAAUAAAUCCUAUUUAUGGACAU